Molecule: non-coding RNA, 1557 nt
Organism: Dermatophagoides farinae (American house dust mite)
Lineage: Eukaryota; Metazoa; Arthropoda; Arachnida; Sarcoptiformes; Pyroglyphidae
Source: RefSeq, a predicted model, not a curated record
UUCUGAUGAUAAUGAUGAGCAUGUGAGUAUCCAGAAACCAACAAAAAAAGCCUACAUCUAUGUAUGUAUCUGAAUGAAUCAUUUUUUUUCUAUUUUCGAAUCUUUUGAUUCUCUUUCUUUUCUCUUUACUAUUCAAUUAGGUUCAGCCCAAAUGUUUGUAAAGAUGAUGAUGAUGAUGAUGAGGAAAAAAAGAAUUAUAUAUUACCCCCUCUUCUCAAAGAAUAUACGAUUUUGAUGUAUAUACAUUGAUUGUCAUUUUGUGUUGGAUGGGUGGAUUGUGUGGGGUGUGCCAUUGGAAACGCUGGCCUAGUCGAAUACAAUAAUAAUACUACCCAUCAAUUCAAGUAAAGUUAAGCAGCCAAAAAUUCAUUCGAUUCAAAGUCAAAUACAGGAAUCAAACCGAAGAAUAAUAAGAACGAAAAAAAACAUCAUAUCACAUCACCGAAUCCGAAAUAGAAGAAAAAGCUUCUUGUACAUUCUCUCCUUGUUAUUAUCAGGGACUCAAUACAAUUGAAGUAUUAUUAUUGUUAUAUAUCUGCUGCGCAGGACUGUAUGGAUAGUAAUAUCCCGGAUCGAAUCAACUUGAACACAAGAAGAAAUUUACGGUUAUUGUUUGAUACAUUUCUUGCUUUCGCCAUCUCGAAUGAAAAACUACAGCAGCAGUAUUUGGAACCAUCAUCCCAAAGAAAUAUAUGAUGAUGAUGUUUAGAGAAUCCAAUGAUUCUAUUAUAAGCUAAAUUGUCUCGAUGUGUAUAUAGAACAAGAAGAAUAAUGUUGGAUGCGCUAAAAGCUUACUCGAUAGUUUCACGAUUCACUACAUGUUUCUUGGAUUCUCUUGUGUGUUCGGUGUGAACAAAUUGUCUACAAACAAAUGAUGCAAAGUUUACAAGAGAAACAAUAACAAACACACACAAAGAGAGAAAAAAUUAGUCCACCGGAUUUGUUGUUGCUGUUCCCCAUCAUCAUCAAAUAAUGCAUGAUUCAUGUACACUGGCCCUAAAUUCUGAAUGUGAUGGAAUGCAUCAUGCCACUACCCAAACGAUAUUUCAAACCAUUACACUUAUAUAUCAAAUACGAAUAGUGUUGAAAAUUUCAUUUUGGGGCCGCAUCAUUUAUAUGAUAUUCUGAUGAUGAUGAUGAUGAUGCUUGAGCUUCCGUUUUUUUUUAUUAUUUCGAGCAAGUCUCAAAAUCGAAUGGAAUGAAGGAAGAACAUCAAGAACACAUACACACACUCACCAAGUCAAAAGAAGAAGAAGAAGAAACCAUCUAGCUAUCUAUUGCCGUUAUAUUGCCAUCAACCAAUUCAUUCAAGUCAAGAAAUGGGAAAAAAAUAGUGGUAUCCAUUUGGAUUUAACAUAUCCACACUUUCUGGUUCCUGGUGCAUAUCUGCUGUGUAUUCUUGAAUUCAUUUUCGUCCUUGCAUAUAUCAUCACAUUCAUUUAUUGAUUCGAACAAAAAAAAAUUCUGUGUUUCAAAAAGCUUUUCAUCUUUUUUUUCUUCUUCUUCUUCUUCUAAAUGAUCAUGAUGGAUAAACGACACAAAAUAGAAAUCUGUACU